GACACACCCACACAGGCAACUGCUAGGGGUGUAACAUUUGGAUUCAUCACUCCAUUAGACCUGUUGCAGCUGAUUUUCAGUCCAGUUCUUCAGUAAUUUAGCAUACCUCAGCCUUUUUUUCUCUAUUUGCCUUAGAGUAGAUGGAACAACUGAGGAGCCAGAUGGAUCUCUCAGGUCAUGUGUCAGGUCUUGGCUGGAUUUUUUUUCCUGUUUUAAAGAGGGUGUGAACGGAAACUGUGGGAGUGAUUCUUCACCCAUCUGUAAUAUAAAGUUGCCUGGCUCAUCUGUAUCUUCCCCCAGUGUCUGAUCGGAGUCAGGACAAGCCGAGGAACCCUCCCUCCAGGCUUCGCUUGCCUCUGACAAAUGAGCCGUGCCUCUGAUGGAGUGAGUGGUCAUUGGCACCCGUAUUCAGUGAGCUCCCAAAGACAAUCAAACACUUUAAGAAAUAUGUUGUGCAUUUACAGACACAUCAUUCAUUCCUUAAACAUAGAUCAUGACUCAUGCUGUCAAGCCUGACACCCCCACCGCUCUCUCUGGAAUCUCAAAUCUAAAUAUGAGUCUUAGUUAAACUGAAUGGCUAAGGAGGGGAAUGUCUCACUCUUAAAUUUUCUCCUGGAAAGCCCGGGUGGUCUUUCAUAUCUUUUUUUUCCUUAAAAAAAUGGCACUGACUAGAUUGUUCCACAUUGCACUUCUGUCAUAGUUUAUAUCAGUCAAAAAAAAGUUGUCCUUCUCUGUAAUGAGCUAGAACAAGAUAAACCGUAUGUUCAGUAAAUGAAACUGAGGUUAAACUGAUUUUCCUCAACAAUAUUUUUGAUUGUUCCACUGAAAAGUCAAGCUGUGCACAUGGCAGAGGUGAUUAUAACGUUUAAUCACUGCGCCCCAUCGCUGAGCAUAGCAGGCUUCUCACCCCGAGGUUUGAUUUACCCGCCCUCUUCCUGAGGAAAAAUCUCAUUCACUAGACGGAUUGCUAAGCGGGUCUCUCCAACCAGCCCCUAUAAAUCAUUCUUUAAUCAGAGGCUUCUCAGAUUGGGCGCAGACACCCGCAGGAGCACCACUGUGACACCUCAACUCCUCCCCAUGCGUCUCUGCAGUCCGGGGAGCUUUCAUCCUCUUCUUUUUCCACUGUGAGCUUGUCUGCAUUUGUUUUUGUCAUCAGGAAGUGUAUGACCACACAACGAUGCUUUAAUGCCUACUUGCUACAAGGAGAGGGGAGGUCUAACAAGAUCAGGAACAAGACUACUGAUAUAGAAGCUGGGAAACAAUACAAGGAGCAAAGUGGACAACUAAACCAGUCCAAAGAGGCCCUGAGACCACAGAAAGUCCAGUCUUACAACAUGUGUCAUAUUGCAAAUAUUGGUAUCGAUCCCAUACCAAGUAAAUACAGGGACAGUAUUGUUGAUACCAAUAUCGAUACCGAUACUUUUAACCUAUGAAGGCAGCUUAUGUAUGAGAGAGCAGUUGUUAUGAUUUAUGACAUAAAUCAUCAUGAAUUUGCAAAUUCUGAACACAUGUUAAUGAUCACUAAAUCACUGUGAGUUUGGCUUUUCACAAUAAUUAGUUAACACAUUAAAAAACACCUUUUCAGCUUUUCAUGUAUUUUGAAAGUAGGGUUUAUUUGUUUGUUGAGACCUGAAAUGUAAAUGUGUGUGGGUCAACUUCUGUUUUUACAGUGUGCUAUAGGCUAUAAAUAAAAUAGGCCUGGCAGUCAACACAAAAAGGCUACAUACUUAACUUAGAGGAUGGAUACAAAGUAUCGAUCCACUCGUGCUAGUAUCGAGCUGAUGCAAAUAUCAGCGUUGGUAUCAAUAGUAUCAAUAUUUGGAUCAAUCUGCCCACCCCUACAGCCAGAUUGUGCUAAUGUAAGGAAACUUUUAAUUGGGAAUUCAGGACACAACACGAAAGUUCAGAUGGCAUGACAAGUUGGAUCAUGCUUUAUCAAAUGAACAAAGACCAGAAUAGUUAUAAGACAUCAGUCUCACAUAGUCCUUUUUUAACUUAAAAGUGAAACUGAUUAUUAGUAGGUGGUGAUUAAUUUUCCCAGUAAUGGAGUGUGAGGUAAAUUCUCACAUUGGGGCUUUAGAGAGUUGAUUUUAUCCAACCUUCUGAACACUCGAAUGACUCUCUGCUGACUGGAUACAGUUUUAAGGUCAUGAACCAUAAAAAAAUGGGGGGGGAAAACCCAACUGUGUUCAGUGUGUUUAAAUUUAACCGCAUCAGAAGAGAUUGAACCAGUGCUGUGAUUGGUCCAACAGGAAGAGCAAAGCUUGCUGGAUCUUAAAGUGUUAAAUUAUAGAUAUUUAAAGAUAUUUUUACUCUCGUGUUUUCCGGUGUGUUGGUGUAAAUCAGCUCUAAUACUAUUGAUUUUAUUAACAAAAAUGUUUCACUUUACGUUAAUAAAGUGCUUCAAAUAUUAAUACUUACAAACAUUCUGUAUGUUUACCUUUAAAUGAACAAAGAGUCGACUAGGUGCUUAGAUGUUAG
Molecule: long non-coding RNA, 2481 nt
Organism: Astatotilapia calliptera (eastern happy)
Lineage: Eukaryota; Metazoa; Chordata; Actinopteri; Cichliformes; Cichlidae
Source: Ensembl